RNAcentral lists this ribosomal RNA (950 nucleotides) under uncultured Alphaproteobacteria bacterium. RNAcentral describes it as "bacterial SSU rRNA". It matches the Rfam family "Bacterial small subunit ribosomal RNA", at positions 49 to 1032 of the family's 1533-position model. The record is from RNAcentral. Lineage: Bacteria; Pseudomonadati; Pseudomonadota; Alphaproteobacteria.
CUACACAUGCAAGUCGAACGCGAACGCACCUUCGGGUGUUAUUAGAGUGGCAGACGGGUGAGUAACGCGUGGGUAUUUACCUAGUGGUAAGGGAUAACUCAGGGAAACCUGGGCUAAUACCUUAUAAGCCCUUCGGGGGAAAGAUUUAUCGCCAUUAGAUGAGCCCGCGUCGGAUUAGCUAGUUGGUGGGGUAAAAGCCUACCAAGGCGACGAUCCGUAGCUGGUCUGAGAGGAUGAUCAGCCACACUGGGACUGAGACACGGCCAGACUCCUACGGGAGGCAGCAGUGGGGAAUAUUGGACAAUGGGCGCAAGCCUGAUCCAGCCAUGCCGCGUGAGUGAUGAAGGCCUUAGGGUUGUAAAACUCUUUCACCGGUGAAGAUAAUGACGGUAGCCGGAGAAGAAGCCCCGGCUAACUCCGUGCCAGCAGCCGCGGUAAUACGGAGGGGGCUAGCGUUGUUCGGAAUUACUGGGCGUAAAGCGCACGUAGGCGGAUUGGUCAGUUGGGGGUGAAAUCCCAAGGCUUAACCUUGGAACUGCCUCCAAAACUGCCAGUCUUGAGUCCGGGAGAGGUGAGUGGAAUUCCUAGUGUAGAGGUGAAAUUCGUAGAUAUUAGGAAGAACACCAGUGGCGAAGGCGGCUCACUGGCCCGGUACUGACGCUGAGGUGCGAAAGCGUGGGGAGCGAACAGGAUUAGAUACCCUGGUAGUCCACGCCGUAAACGAUGGAAGCUAGCCGUCGGGCGGUAUACCGUUCGGUGGCGCAGCUAACGCAUUAAGCUUCCCGCCUGGGGAGUACGGUCGCAAGAUUAAAACUCAAAGGAAUUGACGGGGGCCCGCACAAGCGGUGGAGCAUGUGGUUUAAUUCGAGGCAACGCGAAGAACCUUACCAGCCCUUGACAUCCCGGUCGCGGAUAGCAGAGAUGCUUUCCUUCAGUUCGGCUGGACCGGU